Molecule: ribosomal RNA, 1093 nt
Filed under: Bacteroides thetaiotaomicron
Lineage: Bacteria; Pseudomonadati; Bacteroidota; Bacteroidia; Bacteroidales; Bacteroidaceae
Description: partial 16S ribosomal RNA
Source: RNAcentral
AGCUUCACGAAGUCGGGUUGCAGACUUCGAUCCGAACUGAGAGAGGCUUUUGGGAUUAGCAUCCUGUCACCAGGUAGCUGCCUUCUGUACCCCCCAUUGUAACACGUGUGUAGCCCCGGACGUAAGGGCCGUGCUGAUUUGACGUCAUCCCCACCUUCCUCACAUCUUACGACGGCAGUCUCUCUAGAGUCCUCAGCAUGACCUGUUAGUAACUAAAGAUAAGGGUUGCGCUCGUUAUGGCACUUAAGCCGACACCUCACGGCACGAGCUGACGACAACCAUGCAGCACCUUCACAUUUGUCUUACGACUAUACUGUUUCCAAUAUAUUCAAAUGCAAUUUAAGCCCGGGUAAGGUUCCUCGCGUAUCAUCGAAUUAAACCACAUGUUCCUCCGCUUGUGCGGGCCCCCGUCAAUUCCUUUGAGUUUCACCGUUGCCGGCGUACUCCCCAGGUGGAAUACUUAAUGCUUUCGCUUGGCCGCUUACUGUAUAUCGCAAACAGCGAGUAUUCAUCGUUUACUGUGUGGACUACCAGGGUAUCUAAUCCUGUUUGAUACCCACACUUUCGAGCAUCAGUGUCAGUUGCAGUCCAGUGAGCUGCCUUCGCAAUCGGAGUUCUUCGUGAUAUCUAAGCAUUUCACCGCUACACCACGAAUUCCGCCCACCUCUACUGUACUCAAGACAGCCAGUAUCAACUGCAAUUUUACGGUUGAGCCGCAAACUUUCACAACUGACUUAACUGUCCACCUACGCUCCCUUUAAACCCAAUAAAUCCGGAUAACGCUCGGAUCCUCCGUAUUACCGCGGCUGCUGGCACGGAGUUAGCCGAUCCUUAUUCAUAUGGUACAUACAAAAUUCCACACGUGGAAAACUUUAUUCCCAUAUAAAAGAAGUUUACAACCCAUAGGGCAGUCAUCCUUCACGCUACUUGGCUGGUUCAGGCCUGCGCCCAUUGACCAAUAUUCCUCACUGCUGCCUCCCGUAGGAGUUUGGACCGUGUCUCAGUUCCAAUGUGGGGGACCUUCCUCUCAGAACCCCUAUCCAUCGAAGGUUUGGUGAGCCGUUACCUCACCAACUGCCUAAUGGAACGCAUC